RNAcentral lists this ribosomal RNA (254 nucleotides) under uncultured bacterium. RNAcentral's name for it is "partial 16S ribosomal RNA". It matches the Rfam family "Bacterial small subunit ribosomal RNA", at positions 524 to 776 of the family's 1533-position model. The record is from RNAcentral.
CACGUAGGGUGCGAGCGUUGUCCGGAAUUAUUGGGCGUAAAGAGCUCGUAGGCGGUGUGUCGCGUCGGCCGUGAAAACCUGCAGCUUAACUGUGGGCGUGCGGUCGAUACGGGCAUCACUGGAGUUCGGCAGGGGAGACUGGAAUUCCUGGGGUAGCGGUGAAAUGCGCAGAUAUCAGGAGGAACACCGGUGGCGAAGGCGGGUCUCUGGGCCGAUACUGACGCUGAGGAGCGAAAGCGUGGGGAGCGAACAGG